This 277-nucleotide unclassified non-coding RNA is filed under the name Hevea brasiliensis (rubber tree). The record is from RNAcentral. Lineage: Eukaryota; Viridiplantae; Streptophyta; Magnoliopsida; Malpighiales; Euphorbiaceae.
AAUUAUUGCAUAGAACUAGAUUUACUGUAGAUUCAUUACAUUAAUUAUAUUUCCCCGCUAUUAUAGAUUCCUUGCAAUUUGGACCCAUUUUCCAGCUUACCAUCACCAAUCUAGACCCAGUAGUAUAUGUUAUUGUGGUAGAAGUUCAUUUGCUUCUCUUCUGUGCUUACUUUUUAUCAUUUGCUUACUUUUGACCUUUUAUAUAUAUCUUAUGCUUUCAUGCUUUAAUUUUUGGUUGGCAAGCCAUUUUUUAGUUAGUUUUCACUGUUUGCAAGUA